This 250-nucleotide ribosomal RNA is filed under the name uncultured bacterium. RNAcentral's name for it is "partial 16S ribosomal RNA". It matches the Rfam family "Bacterial small subunit ribosomal RNA", at positions 524 to 772 of the family's 1533-position model. The record is from RNAcentral.
UACGGAGGUGGCAAGCGUUGUUCGGAAUUACUGGGCUUAAAGCGCGUGUAGGCGGGACGGAAAGUGUCGGGUGAAAGCCCUUGGCUCAACCAAGGAACUGCUUGGCAUACUUCCGUUCUUGAGGUGGGUAGGGGAGACUGGAACUUCCGGUGGAGCGGUGAAAUGCGUUUGAGAUCGGAAGGAACGCCCGCGGCGAAAGCGAGUCUCUGGCCCCAUACUGACGCUGAGACGCGAAAGCCAGGGGAGCAAA